GCCCAGAAUAGAAUUUUAGUUCAACUUUAAACUUGCCUACAAAACUUAAAAAUUCUAAUGCAAGUUUAAAAUAUAUUCUAAAAAGGUACAGCUUUUUAGAAUCAAGGAUACAACCUUACUUAGAGAGUAAAUACUGAUUAAAUCAUAGUAGGCCUAGAAGCAGCCAUCAAUUAAGAAAGCGUUUAAGCUCAACACCCAUACCAACCUGAUACCAAAAAUAUCCAAUUAACUCCUAAUAUAAUAACUGGGCUAAUCUAUUUAAAUAUAGAAGCAACAAUGCUAAUAUGAGUAACGAGAAGUACUUCUCCAACGCAUAAGCUUAUAACAGCAACGGAUAACCACUGAUAGUUAACAACAACGUAGAAAUAAUCCAACAAUAAAACACCUACCAAACCAAUUGUUAAUCCAACACAGGCAUGCGACUAAGGAAAGAUUAAAAGAAGUAAAAGGAACUCGGCAAACACAAACCCCGCCUGUUUACCAAAAACAUCACCUCCAGCAUUCCCAGUAUUGGAGGCACUGCCUGCCCGGUGACAUCAGUUAAACGGCCGCGGUAUUCUGACCGUGCAAAGGUAGCAUAAUCAUUUGUUCUCUAAAUAAGGACUUGUAUGAAAGGCCACACGAGGGUUUAACUGUCUCUUACUUCCAAUCAGUGAAAUUGACCUUCCCGUGAAGAGGCGGGAAUAAAAUAAUAAGACGAGAAGACCCUAUGGAGCUUCAAUUAAUUAGCUCAAAAGGAUUUAUUUACCAGACCAACAGGAACAACAUAUUCCUUCCAUGAGCUAGCAAUUUAGGUUGGGGCGACCUCGGAGUACAAAAUAACCUCCGAGUGAUAUUAAUCUAGACGUACCUGUCAAAAUGCUCACUUACUUAUUGAUCCAAAACUUCUUUGAUCAACGGAACAAGUUACCCUAGGGAUAACAGCGCAAUCCUGUUUAAGAGUCCAUAUCGACAAUAGGGUUUACGACCUCGAUGUUGGAUCAGGACAUCCUAAUGGUGCAGCAGCUAUUAAGGGUUCGUUUGUUCAACGAUUAAAG
RNAcentral lists this ribosomal RNA (1037 nucleotides) under Ursus maritimus (polar bear). RNAcentral's name for it is "partial 16S ribosomal RNA". It matches the Rfam family "Bacterial large subunit ribosomal RNA", at positions 856 to 2593 of the family's 2925-position model. The record is from RNAcentral. Lineage: Eukaryota; Metazoa; Chordata; Mammalia; Carnivora; Ursidae.